UCCAUUGAGUUAUUAACGAUUGCAAUGGAUACUCAACAUAAAUAGUAUAUUAUUAGCCAAGGUUGCAAGGCCAAGCAUUCUAGACCGAGCGCAAAUUAGAACCCGAGACGCGCAGCGUCGAGGGCUCUGAAGCGCUAGGUCUAGAAGUGGCUUUGCAACCGUGGUUAAUAUACUAUUUUUUUCACUAGUAGACACCAUAAGACAAUAAAUUGAAAAAAUAAACGUUCAAUUUUUUUACGCAACAUGAUUUUGUUUUGAUUUCUAAUCAAACUUAAUCUAAAUCUUCAACACAAAGAAAACCGUUUAUACUUGUCGCUGAGUUAAUCAUUUUAUCUUCUACCGUCUACCAACUAUCAUGCGUAUACUCAAGUAAUGUUUGUAGCACACAUUUGUUCAUUUUUUAAGAAAUAAUCACAUCAAACAUUGCGUACAUAACCUCAAUUUUUCUUUUUGAACCCGUGGUAGCAAAAGUUGAAUUUGCUACCACUUGUUACGAUUUUUUUUUGGAGUCGAGGGUGAAAGGGGCUUAGACGAAGUCUCGCUCGAUGGUUUUAAUCGGUCGUAGCGAACGCCUGUCACCGAUCUCGACCUCUUUUUUUAUUGCGGAUUGUCGCCGGCAGCUCCGCCAAAUUUUGAGUUUUUUUUGCCUCUACGAAGUAGUACUGGCGGGGACGGAGACGGCCAAGCGAGAGGUGGGGGUGCAAAGUGAGAGAAGAGUGAGAGUUGGUGCCGAGAAGAGGUGAUUUGAGUUUGGCGAGGUUUGACCUGAUGGUUUCCUUUCUUUUUUGAGAGUACUCAGUUCCAUAGAUUGAUAGUGAGGCGUAUCCCUUGUAUAAGGGUCCACGCCAGGGGCGAAGUUUCGGAGCCGUACAGAGGCGACGUAGAGGGCAGCGAAACGAGGGAAAUUUGCUGGGCGUAGCGCCAGCUAGGAGACCCGGAGUUUUUGGAUGAUCGCGACGUCGAAGACGCGGACCUGGUGAGUUGAACAUCGGGGGAUCCAGGCCGCGGCAGGACUUGGUCAGCGCGUCGCCGUCGUCCUGUGGGAAGACUCCUGUUUUUUUGAGCUACGAGUAAAAGAACACGCCUUAUCGCGAUCGGAAAUUUUCUUAUCGUUUGUCGCCAGACCCAACCGUUUUUUUUCUGCGUCUCUCUCUUUCACUCUUUACAUGCUUUUCAACGUUUUUUCAAAUUUUCACGUACCCGCAUAAAUUUGAUGGCGCCCAAUUUUUUUUAUUUGUGAAAUAGUCAGCAUUUCCUGUAACUAGCUAGUAGACCGUUGUUGCGUAGUAGUUCGUCAGUUCAUUUGUUAUGGUAAUUCGUUACUGACAUUAGUUGUAGUUUUGUUACCUUUUACUAACCUAGAUAAUUUUUUUUUGUACUAAAAGCCCUAAAUAUUUUAAUUAUUAUACAGCUCGCCAAAAUAAUUAGCCUUUCAUUCUGAAUCAAAAUCUCGGAUCCACCUACCGGCUCUCCCGGAAGUGAGCACGGGCAAGUGUAUCUUCCCUCGCUUUUAUAGCAGAGACGACGUUUUAAGGUAACACACUAAAUGAGUCGACAUUUGCAUGCGCCCUGGCUGCUAGUGAAAAAUAACUAUUUUUUUAAUUAUCACGUAGGUUUGCUGAAAUAUUGGUUGCACACCUCCAAUAUAUUGAUGUGUUUUUUUUUUCGGACUGAACAUAGGGACUUUAUGGUGUAUUUAAAGAGUAGAAUAAUUGAAUUUCUUCAUGAUCCCAGGUAACACCCUGGGCAAAAAAAAGACAGGGUAAAAAUAAUACAUUUGUAACGAUUGAUAAUUUUGUUCAUAAACCUAAAAUGAUAUAAUUUUUUAAAUACAACUAAAAAAGAAACAAUAAAUUAUGUCGCCAUACAAUAUAAAAGUGAAUUUACCAUACAGACAUAAUAAUAUUCUAUGCUGAUGUUAUAUUUACAUUUAAGUUGUCAUAAAGAAAGAAUUCAAAAAACUUAA
Molecule: long non-coding RNA, 1966 nt
Organism: Zophobas morio
Lineage: Eukaryota; Metazoa; Arthropoda; Insecta; Coleoptera; Tenebrionidae
Exons: 2
Source: RefSeq, a predicted model, not a curated record